RNAcentral lists this ribosomal RNA (501 nucleotides) under uncultured bacterium. RNAcentral describes it as "bacterial SSU rRNA". It matches the Rfam family "Bacterial small subunit ribosomal RNA", at positions 38 to 518 of the family's 1533-position model. The record is from RNAcentral.
GGCGGCGUGCCUAAUACAUGCAAGUCGAGCGAACCGAUGAAGAGCUUGCUCUUCAAAGGUGAGCGGCGGACGGGUGAGUAACACGUGGGCAACCUGCCUGCAAGAUCGGGAUAACUCCGGGAAACCGGGGCUAAUACCGGAUAAUGCAUUUCGCUGCAUGGCGGAAUGCUAAAAGGCGGCUUCGGCUGUCACUUGCAGAUGGGCCCGCGGCGCAUUAGCUAGUUGGGGAGGUAACGGCUCCCCAAGGCGACGAUGCGUAGCCGACCUGAGAGGGUGAUCGGCCACGCUGGGACUGAGGCACGGCCCAGACUCCUACGGGAGGCAGCAGUAGGGAAUUUUCCGCAAUGGGCGCAAGCCUGACGGAGCAACGCCCGCGUGAGUGAGGACGGCUUUCGGGUUGUAAAACUCUGUUCUUCGGGAAGAACGGCGGUCGGGUGAAUAGCCCGAUUGCGUGACGGUACCGAAGGAGAAAGCCCCGGCUAACUACGUGCCAGCCGCUGC